UACGGAGGGUGCAAGCGUUAUCCGGAUUCACUGGGUUUAAAGGGUGCGUAGGCGGGUAAGUAAGUCCGUGGUGAAAUCUCUGAGCUUAACUCGGAAACUGCCGUGGAUACUAUUUGCCUUGAAUAUUGUGGAGGUGAGCGGAAUAUGUCAUGUAGCGGUGAAAUGCUUAGAUAUGACAUAGAACACCAAUUGCGAAGGCAGCUCACUACACAAUCAUUGACGCUGAGGCACGAAAGCGUGGGGAUCAAACAGG
RNAcentral lists this ribosomal RNA (253 nucleotides) under uncultured bacterium. RNAcentral describes it as "partial 16S ribosomal RNA". It matches the Rfam family "Bacterial small subunit ribosomal RNA", at positions 524 to 776 of the family's 1533-position model. The record is from RNAcentral.